RNAcentral lists this ribosomal RNA (460 nucleotides) under uncultured bacterium. RNAcentral's name for it is "partial 16S ribosomal RNA". It matches the Rfam family "Bacterial small subunit ribosomal RNA", at positions 338 to 795 of the family's 1533-position model. The record is from RNAcentral.
CCUACGGGUGGCAGCAGUGAGGAAUAUUGGUCAAUGGACGAGAGUCUGAACCAGCCAAGUAGCGUGAAGGAUGACUGCCCUAUGGGUUGUAAACUUCUUUUAUAUGGGACUAAAAUGUUCCACGUGUGGGAUUUUGUAUGUACCAUAUGAAUAAGGAUAGGCUAACUCCGUGCCAGCAGCCGCGGUAAUACGGAGGAUCCGAGCGUUAUCCGGAUUUAUUUGGUUUAAAGGGAGCGUAGGUGGAUUGUUAAGUCAGUUGUGAAAGUUUGCGGCUCAACCGUAGAAGUGCAGUUGAAACUGGCAGGCUCGAGUACAGUAGAGGUGGGCGGAAUUCGUGGUGUAGCGGUGAAAUGCGUAGAUAUCACGAAGAACUCCGAUUGCGAAGGCAGUUCACUGGACUGCAACUGACACUGAGGCUCGAAAGUGUGGGUAUCAAACAGGAUUAGAUACCCGAGUAGUC